Molecule: long non-coding RNA, 41930 nt
Filed under: Triticum aestivum (bread wheat)
Lineage: Eukaryota; Viridiplantae; Streptophyta; Magnoliopsida; Poales; Poaceae
Description: long non-coding RNA (TAES_LNC014755)
Source: RNAcentral
UUUUUUCCUCUCUUUUUUUCCUCUAUCUUUUUUUUUCUCCCUCUUUCCAAGACAAACUAGAUAAGAUGCAGAUUGGAUCAGGCGAAGAUGUGAAUGACCUCAACUAUGAUUAUGACAAUGAACAGUGCGUAGCACGUGGUGGAAAUUAAUGGAUGGGAUGGUGGACAGCGGAAGGGAUAAUGAUGCAGUGGCGGCGUGACUAAUGUGAACAGAACUCGAAACUCUAAAGGAACCAGACACUAAGACCAGCAACUGACACGACGAUGCAACCGAUAAUUUAACUAUGCAAGCAAUGAAUAGAAAAUUGCAAAGGCUCAGACUGGCUUGGAUAAAGGAUGAACAGAUCUAACUUUUUUUUUGUGGCUUUUUCUUGGACAAUAGGUAAGAAAAUAAAUCUAAUCUAAGAAAAACUGGAAAUUCUCACCGAGCAACCUGAAAACUGAUACCACUUGAUAGAGACGAGGGUCCCGAUCUUUCAAUGAGAUGAUAACUAUCGAUUUGGUGGAGACGACUUUCACGAUCCGACUACAAACGUGCACGACGUUGCGCCUUAGCAAUCGCUAAACCAAUCUCCUGAGGUUACUGACGAUGCUGGAAGCACGGUCAGCCUGACCACGAAGGUCUAUUCCUGCAAGCAAUCGAAGAACGAGCAAGAAUAUGAUAAAGCAAUCUGAAUAUUGCAAAUAUAUAUGAGAUGAUAACUAUCGAUUUGGUGGAGACGACUUUCACGAUCCGACUACAAACGUGCACGACGUUGCGCCUUAGCAAUCGCUAAACCAAUCUCCUGAGGUUACUGACGAUGCUGGAAGCACGGUCAGCCUGACCACGAAGGUCUAUUCCUGCAAGCAAUCGAAGAACGAGCAAGAAUAUGAUAAAGCAAUCUGAAUAUUGCAAAUAUAUAUGAGAUGAUAACUAUCGAUUUGGUGGAGACGACUUUCACGAUCCGACUACAAACGUGCACGACGUUGCGCCUUAGCAAUCGCUAAACCAAUCUCCUGAGGUUACUGACGAUGCUGGAAGCACGGUCAGCCUGACCACGAAGGUCUAUUCCUGCAAGCAAUCGAAGAACGAGCAAGAAUAUGAUAAAGCAAUCUGAAUAUUGCAAAUAUAUAUGAGAUGAUAACUAUCGAUUUGGUGGAGACGACUUUCACGAUCCGACUACAAACGUGCACGACGUUGCGCCUUAGCAAUCGCUAAACCAAUCUCCUGAGGUUACUGACGAUGCUGGAAGCACGGUCAGCCUGACCACGAAGGUCUAUUCCUGCAAGCAAUCGAAGAACGAGCAAGAAUAUGAUAAAGCAAUCUGAAUAUUGCAAAUAUAUAUGAAGUAUUGAUAAUGGUGGGGAUCCGGAAGCGGUCUUGGUCUGGUCGUUGGACACAAACGAAGUACACGAAGCGGUCUUGGCUAACUUUUAACUAAACAAAUCCCAAGAAAAAGCUACUAGAUGGAUCUACUUAUAUAGGAGCAAGGGGUGGAGGCCAAGGAGGUGGGAGGACGUCCCAAGGCAGCCUAAAACUAAAUCUAGGUCGUACAAGGCCAAUGGGCCCAAGUGGAGAUGAUGUAACACCUUUGGACUUGUAGUUUGACUCGGAUUCUGCUGCAGCAUCAGAUUGUUUCGUCCACAACUCAACGCUCCGGACGAAUUUGAAGGUGAUUCCAAUUGGGUUGGAAAGUGCACGAAAUCUAGUUUCCAACAAAAAAAGAAUCACCCAAUUCGGAGUCCGUAUGAAAAACUUGUGUGCGUUUUGAGUCAGGUAUGUCUGUGCAGUCCGAAUCUGAAUCCAGAACGUGAGAGACUUGGACUCUAUCUUCUCUUGGGCCAAAAGUGACGUGAGAGAACUUUUUGGACAGCAAAUAAACAUCUCUUUCUUCCUUAUCUUCAUAUGUGGAUUGUACAAAUGUCCCAUACACCUGCAAUUAGACAAAACACAAAAGUGUGUGAAGUAUUUUUGUUCUGGAUAACAUAAAUAGAUUAUUGAAUAGUUUGCACUAGAAAUCACCUGACAAAUAUGCAUAUAUGCAAUAUUUUUGGUCAUAUCCAAGGUAGUCAUGUCCUCAUCACCUUCUGGCCAGGCGUUCCAGCUCUGCGCACCCCCAGUCAGACCGCCAACUGGUUAGAGGUGGUUGUCGGCCGCUUCAAGGCGUGGAAGGCCUCCGCAUCCCGGGCAGGCAUGCGGUGGGACUUGGAGUUUGUCAAGGCGUGGUAUCCGGGGCUGAACCUAGCCCAAUUAGCCACGUUCCGGCAGGAGGCCAGGGAAGAGCUGGCGGUGGUGGGACCUGCGCUCAUUCAAUGCUCAGCGGCGAUCGCUGAGUACACCAAUACUGGUGUCUUCCUCCCCGAGCUGGACGAGGAGGGUGCCGAGGUGCCGCCCAACUGGUUCGGGCUGAACCUGAACGACGAUGGGUACUCGGUGGAGGAAAUCGCCUCCAGCGACGAGGGCGAGGAAGACGAAGGCGUGGAUGGUGAGGACGAUGCACCAUAGAACGGAGUGGACAACCAGCCUCAGCUUGAUCGAGCAUCGAGCAGCGAGCCGCGUGCGAGUUCGCCGACUGCUGCCGACGGUGACCAAGCUGAGACUCGCCAGACGACCACCCCGCCAGCCGGCGCCGCUGACUCCACCAACCUGCCGGACCCGACUGUGGCUCCUCUGGCCUAGGCGGCCAGUUUAUUUUAUCUUUUCCUGUUUUGGUAGUCUUUUGAACAAACUUUGUUAGAUUUGCGAUGUUCCACCUGCUGGGGGUGUAUUCAAACUUUGUUGAAUGUCGGCCAAGGGCCUUUUGCUAUGUAAAUUAAUUUUGCUGAGUUCUAACUUGUCUUGCUUUUCUGCUCCUUUGGCUCUUUUCCUUUGCCACCUCCCCUUGGCUGCCGCCUUGCCAGCCAGACAGCCGCUCUGCGGUCUGUGGCUGGGUCAACUACUUGGCCAUUUUUUGGGAAGGCAAGUACUUCGGCCGUUUGGAACGUAGCAAGUUAAGUGAGAGGCAUGCCGGCUGGUUGCUCAGCAGCCGAUCGACGAGGCAAGGAGCCAACUUGGCCUAUGUGAAUGCUUUUGUCCUUAGCCAUUUUUCAUGCGGGCACCAUUUCCUGCCUUUAACUCUUGCCAACCGAACAGUCACUCUGCGAGCUGCGGCCUAUCGCAAGAGAGGGCUUAGAUGCCGGCACAUUACUUGUUCGAUUGCAUGUAGCACCGACAUAGUACAAGGCGGCAAGCCCCCGGGCUGACUGGUCGAACCCGGUGCCAUGCAGAAUAAUGAAAUAACACAUUCAUAGGCAUAAAACUUAUCUUAUAGAUAAAAGGGUAGCCCCCGAGUGCUCCUCAAGGGCCCCGAUGUCUUAGCGCUUUAAUACAAAAGGUAGCAUGGUACAUACUACAUCAAUUGUAAAAUCUUCGGAGGAGAUUUUCAUUCCAUGGGCGCUUCGAUUCUUUGCCAGAGUCGUCUCUCUUGCGCGCUCUGGGCUUCUGUGCAUCGAUGAGGUAGUAGGAAUCAUUGCCCAAAGCUUUGCUGAUGACGAAGGGGCCUUCCCAAGGGGCCGAGAGCUGGUGCUGGCCGGCUGUUCACUAGAUCAGCCGGAGCACAAGGUCUCCUUCUUGGAAAGAUCUUGGCUUCACCUUCCGACUGUGGUAGCGGCGCAGACUCUGUUGGUAGAUGGCGGACCGGCUGAGUGCCAACAGUCGGCCCUCUUCCAGCAGAUCAACGCCGUCUUCUCAUGCUUCUUUCGCCUCCACCUCUGUGUACAUGGUGACGCUAGGUGAAUCGAACUCAAUGUCAGUUGGGAUGAUGGCCUCGGCCCCGUACACGAGGAAGAAGGGGGUGAAGCCAGUUGACUUGCUCAGAGUGCUGCAGAGGCUACAGAGGACGCCGGCAGCUCGUCGAUCCAGCAGCCGGUCGAGCACUCCAGUGGCUCGACUAGUCGGGGCUUGAUGCCGAACAAGAUGAGGCCGUUGCUCUCUCGACUUGGCCGUUUGACUGUGGAUGGGCAACAGACGCUAAUUCCAGUAGGAUGCCCCACGUCGCGCAGAAACGAGCCAAGGCACCUUUGGCAAUGUUUGUACCAUUGUCAGUGAUGAUGCUGUGUGGUACACCAUAUCAGACGGUGAUAUCCGCGAUGAAAGUCACAGCGAUCGGACCGUUCAACUUCUUGAUUGGCUUUGCUUCAAUCCACUUAGUGAAUUUGUCCACGGCGACAAGCAGAUGGGUCAGGCCGCCGCAUGCUGUCUUAAAUGGUCCCACCAUGUCCAACCCCCAGACGGCAAAAGGCCAGGUAAGGGGGAUGGUCUUGAGUGCAGAAGCCGACAGAUGUUGCUUGGAGCUGAAUUUAUGGCACCCCUUGCAAUGCUUGGCCAACUCCUUGGCGUCCUCCAAGGCAGUCAGCCAAAAGAAACCAUGACCGAAAGCUUUGGCAACAAGGGAUCUGGAGGCCAUGUGGUGGCCACACUCUCCUUCGUGGAUAUCUUUGAGGAUUGCUUGGCCCUUCUCUUGUUCUACGCAGCGCUGGAAGACCCCAGUCACGCUGUGUCUGACAAGCUCUCUGUUAACUAUCGUGUAGGCCCCUCCUCGGUGCUACAUCUGCCGGGUCGAGAUCUCAUCAGCUGGCAGCUCUCUGUUCAGCAGGAAAUUGAGGAUGGGUUGUGCCCAGGAUGGUGCUUGGACUUCGUCCACUAUCAUCACAGCCACUGGUACUAGGGCAGUUGGGUUAGGAGGCGGCAGGGUGGAGUCAGUCGCUGCUUGCUGUGUUGUUGGAGUCUCCGGGCCGACUGUUGCAGCCCCCGAGCACCUUGGUGAAGUCCCCGAGCCGGCUGCUGCAUCCCCCGGGCCUGGUUGUGAAGACCCCGGGCUGGGUGCGACUGCUACAGUCCCCGUGCCACCUGCCGAAGUCCCCGAGCCGGCUACUACAGCCCCUGAGUCGGAUCCGACUGCUUCAGGAGCAGUCGGUACAAAGAUGGACUCGAAUUCUGGAGAAGGUUUGAUAGACGGCUUGCGGAGGCACUGAAGGGAAACGCUGGCUGGUAUUGCCUGACGGGUGGAGCCGAUCCGUGCCAAGGCAUCAGCUUGCUCGUUGUCGUUCCGUGGCAUGUGAAGGAACUCGCACCCUUCAAAAUAUUCGCUGAUCUGCUAGACGAGGAAGCGGUAACUUGCCAUGUUUGUAUCCUUGGCAUCCCAGUCACCAGGCGACUGUUGGACCACCAAGUCUAUGUCGCCAUAGCACAGUAUCUGGCAGAUGCCGAUUUCUUUGCCAGCCAGAGUCCGUGUACUAGCGCCUCAUACUCGGCCACGUUGUUGGAGGCGGCAAAGUGAAUUUGCAAUGCGUAUAUGAGGUUCUCGCCCUUGGGAGAGGUGAGGACAACGCCAGCUCCCAAGCCGGUGCCCAUCUUUGAGCCAUCAAAGUGCAUCCGCUAAUGAGUGGAGUCCGGAGCUGGCAGCAGGUACUGGGUCUCCGCCCAGUCGACGAGGAAGUCAGCCAGUGCUUGGGACUUGAUGGCGGUGCGUGGCUGAUAGAAGAUGGUGUAAGGGGCCAACUCAAUGGCCCAUUUGACCACCCGGCCUGAUGCAUCUCUAUUGCCUAUGAUCUCAGCAAGCGGGGCAGUGCAGACACCGUGAUUGGGUGCUCUUGAAACUAUGGCUUCAGCUUUUUGGCGGCAAAGUGCACGCCGUAACACAUCUUCUGGUAGUGGGGAUAGUUCUGCUUUUGAGGUUGAUAGCACCUCGCUCAAAUAGUACACAAGCCUUUGGACCAGCUGUGCUCUGCCGUCUUCUGGGCGUUCCACCACAAUGACAGUGCUGACCACCCGGCUCAUGGCGGCGAUGUAGAGGUACAUGGGCUCUUUAGCAGCCGGGGCCGCCAGGACAGGCGACGUAGUCAGCAUCUUCUUCAGCUGGAGAAUGGCCUCGUCUGCCUUGUCGUUCCACUCGAAGUGAGUGGUUUUCUUCAUGAGUUGGUAUAGGCGAAGAGCCUUCUCACCCAGUCGACUAAUGAAGCGGCCGAUGGAUGCCAAGUAGCUGCUGAACUUCUGGACAUCUCGCAGUCGGGUGGGUCUCUCCAUCCUCUCAAUGGCCUUGAUCUUCAUAGGAUUGCACCCAAUGCCGCGCUCUGAGACCAGGAAGCCAAGGAGCUGGCUGGCUUGAUGCGGAGCAUCCCAAGGUUAUCCCCAUAAACCUACAUUGUCUCAUCAAGUGCCUAGUGGACCCAUGACUCGAUCACGUGAAAGAGCUCUUGAAACCGAGGUGACAUCUCUCCUCUCACAAUUCCACUUAGAUGCACAUGAAGCAUGGCUACUACCUCAUAUGGAUACUUGGUGCAUACUCAGGUACAAUGGAGAAGCUAAGAAGCACGAACAAGAAGAAGAGGAAGAUGGACGAGAAGACGGAGAAGAAGGAGGGCUGAAGGAAAAGUACCAGCCACCGGACGACCGGCCGGGACCGGACGUCCGGCGCCUGAAGCGUCAGCCGAGCCCCAGCGAGCGGACGUCCGGUCCAGACCGGACGACCGGUGCCCCUGCACCCGAGGCCAAUGAGCAGACGUCCAGCCCCGACCGGACGACCAGCGCGACCGCACCCGAGCCAACAUCAGCAAAAGUCUGGAGCCUCUGGACGUCCGGCACCCCCAUCACAUAACGGAACCAGCAGACGACCGGAGGACACCGGGCGUCCGGCAGCUCCUGAGACACCGGACGACCGGUCCCCAGCGGACGUCCGGUACCUAUCUGCGCACAGUGUUCGGGCCCAAGGCCCAUGUACCCUUUCACUUCUCCCCCUUUUGCACUUAGAUUAUAAAUAGACCCCCCCCAUUCAUCCUAGCUAGGGUUAGCAUUGGUUUAGCUCAUUUGAGAGAUAGGGCAUUGCUCAUCCAUAUCGGAUCUACUCCAAGAGAGAGACCGCGGCCCCUCUUCGGAGAAGAUCCACCUUGGAUUCAAGAUCCCUUUCUAAGGGAAGAUCCCCUUGUGGAUUCAAGACCUCCUCACGGAGAAGAACCGGUUACCGUGUAUCGUCCCUAGUUGUCCGUGGAUUCGUGUAUCGUUCUAUGUACUCGAGGAUCUAGCCCAUGUGUGACUUAUUCGUGUCGGUUUAGUGAUUUCCUCUUGUGUUUUCCUUAUGUUCUUCCCCGUGUUCUUCGUAUUUUCCCCAGGAUCCGCUCCUUUCGUGAAAGAUCGCGCGAUUAGGGUCUCCACCCUACAUCAUCUUGGUAUCUAGAGCAAGGUUGAUCACGAUUUCGGAGCCCCCUCUUCGUUUUCUAGCUUGAUUUUGUUGUUUUUCGUCCUAAUCCGAAAAUCCCCACAAAAAUAGCCCCAAAAUUUUUUCUUGUGUUUUGUGAGUUUUGAUGAUGUUUUGUUGGUUUUGAUCCGUGAAUUUGUUGUGUUGCAAGUGGAUCUCGCCUUUCCCCACCAUUUCCACCGCGAUAUCCCUCCAAAAAUCCCCAAAAUCACCUCCCGGAUCUGAAUUUCGCGUUGACCCCAACCACCGGACGACCGUAACUUCACCGGACGUCCGGCGACCCAGGAAGCACCGGACGUCCGACCUUGCCGGACGAACGGCGACCGGACAUCCGUCCACUUCCGGAUGACCGCUACUUCCACCACAUCAUCCUCUACACCACCUUCAACUUCCGCAAACCGUUCCAAUAUCCCAACCCACACCACCACUUAACCGCUACCUACUCCAACGAUUUUGGUCGCCUUUGGUUUUGAGAAUUUGAGUUGUGGUACCGUAUCCUUUUGUGUUUGGGCUAUCUAGGUACGGUUCGACAUCGACAUCACCGCCGCUCAUCUUCGCCACGGACGCGUCAUCAACAACGACCACCUCGACUACAACUUGGUAUUCGUACCUCCAUUUUGACACCAUACCGGAAGCAAGACCGGUAACCUCAUCUUGGUAUUGGACAUAUCACUCUUGCCAUCAAAUUGUUAGCCAUCAUAGCCUUAUUUCUUUGCGUUGAUUACCCUUCGAGACUAGCCAUUGAGUAUUGCCGGCAACGAGACUUGUGCACUUUAGUGAUCAUACUUCCCAUAGCAUACAUACAUACAUCAUUGUUGCCUAUAUUGGUAUCAUCUCUUGUAUCACAAAGUUGUCAUCGCAUACUCACUUGCUAUCUUGGUUCGUCAAGCAUUGCAUGAGAAAAGAGCUCAAACAUCAAAGAGCCAACCAAGCUUUUAAGCAAAGAGGAAAGAUAAGCAAAGAGCUUUUAAGAAAGAACCAUAGCAUCAUACAACAUUAAGAUUGUCAUACUCGAUCAUCUUGGAUCAUAUCAUAGCAACACCUUGCAUAAAACAUAUUUGGGAUAGAAGUCGUUGCAUUUUUGCUAAGUAGGUUGUGCACAAGUUCUUGUAUCCGCCUAUUGUGCAAUCGUGCUAGCGUCUCUCUAGUGUUGUGCAACAAGAGCAUUUUUGUGGAUUCCACAUUUUGGCUCACCCUUGGUUGCACAACCCCACUUAUCUUUUUGCGCGUGUGUUUCCAUGUACCGUAUAUGCUUGGUCUGCUUGUUACAUUGCAUCUUGCGAAUCUUCUCCAACAUUAUUGAAUCUUGCUUACAUUCACAUUAAAAAUUGUGCCACCAUCCUAACCAAGCUCCACCAUAAGCUUUUACUUGUGUAGGUGUGAGAAACCGACGAGAAUUCGUACCAAUUGGGCUAUUUCCUUGUCCUACAUUGGAGUGAUCAUCGAUUCACUUUCAACUUCGGUCAAGGUACAUUUGGUAUUCGUUCUUCUCUUUCUACCACUCACACUUGUCUUGGAAUGAUGGAUAGGCCAAGUACUUCUACCAACCCACUCUUCAUGGAGCAAGACGACGACAUGAACUCCUUCGUCACCAAGAGUCACCUCUUUGGUGCAGAACGUGCUUUGCAUCAAGAGCAACAAGCUAUGAGUGAACGCAUCCACAACCUUGCCGCCGACUUGCGACUUUCCGAGCAACGUACAAGGGACUACUUCGACCACAAGCUCGACGAUCACAAGCAAGAGAAUGACGCAAGGAUGGACGAGAGUCGCACUUUGUUGCUCAACCGCUCUUCUUCCACUUCAAGAAGGAGCCGUUCAAGUCGCCACUCCAACUUCACCCUCUCCGGCUCAAGUACACCGACAUUGAACACUCUUUGUCGAGCCGCGCGCAUCGACCGUCAAGCAAACCUCAAUCCACUUCGGGAAACCUCCUCUCAAGAGCGCCGACGACGUCAAGCCGAAGAAGCCUUUGCGCUAGCUCGAGAACAACAACAACAACGCCAACACGAAGAGGAAGAACGCGUGCGUCUACACCAAAAUGCACAAAAUGCCGAGGCUCAGCGUCAAGAACAACAACUCCGUGACGCUCAAGCACUUGAGGUGCAACAAGCUCUAUGUGAUGUGAGUCGAGCCGUUGCCGACCGAGGCCGACAAGCACAUGAACAAGAGGAAGCACUUCGCGACGAACUUCAUGAAUGACGAUUUCAAGCUCGCCUGCAUCGUCUAGUUCCCCCUCGAGCUCGACGCGUUCCUCCCCAAGCUCGCCAAGACCAUCAUGUUCAUCAAGAGCGUGAAAACAAUGGGAAUCCUCCGCGACAAGAGCAACACGAGGUUGACAACCCUCCGCGUCAAGAGCACCAUGAGUUGGACAAUCAUCUACAACAUGGGCGUCAUCAUCCCCGACCCCAACACAAUGAAGAGCAACGCUACGGCAAGCUCAAGUUCACCAUGCCCAAGUUCAACGGAAGCAACGAUCCCGAAGAAUACCUUUCAUGGGCAUUGAAAGUUGACAAGAUCUUCCGUUUGCACAAUUAUGAAGAAGAGAAGAAGAUCGCGAUGGCAUCCCUUGAGUUCCAAGACUAUGUCCUCAUUUGGUGGGAACAAAUCAUAGAGAGCCGCGAGGCAAGAGGUGAACCACCCAUCACUACUUGGGCACAAAUGAAGGAUGUCAUGAGAGCACGCUUCGUGCCUACCUACUACAACCGCGACCUCUUCAAGAAACUCCAACAAGUCAAGCAAGGAACCAAGAGCAUUGAAGAAUACUACAAGGAGAUGGAGAUUGCAAUGAUAAGAGCCAAUGUCACGGAAGACGAUGAACAAACAAUGGCACGCUUCAUGAAUGGACUCAAUCACCCUAUCAAGAAGAUCGCCGACUCCCAACCAUACUCAAACCUCAUCGAGCUAGUGCACCAAGCCACCAAAGCGGAACGCCAAGUGCAAGAUGAUUUCAAGUAUACCAAGUUCUCGUCCAAGACCUACGGCUCCUCUUAUCAAGCUCCCGCGACUUCGGAAACUCCUACCUCAACUAGAGAAUCACCAAGUACCGGCGAUAAGUCAAGUUCCAAGAAAGCUUCGUCAACUACAAGCCAUCCUCCUACGAGAAACUUCAAACCGAGAGCUUCAUCAUCAUCUACCCAACCGAUGAGACCGUCAAGACAAGUUCCUUCGAGUGUUUCACUUGCGGAGGCCGAGGCCACAAGUCCUACGAGUGCACCAACAAGUGAACCAUGGUCUUGAACAACGAUGGAACUUAUGACUCCAUGAGUGAAGGCGAAAUGGAAGCCCUCGAGCAAGUCGCCAUGCACUGCCAAGUGAACAAUAAAGAAGAACAAGUCUUUUGUGAUGAAGACUCAAGUCCCGCACUUGUUGUCUCCAAAGUCUUGACCCUCCAACAUCACCAAGAAGAAGACCAAAGAUGCAACAUAUUCCACACCAAGGACGGCAUCAAUGGACGAUCCGGCAAUGUCAUCAUCGAUGGAAGAAGUUGUCAUAAUCUCGCAAGUGAAGAACAUUGCUCCAAGCUCCAAUUGCCAAAGACGAAGCAUCCACAUCCAUACAAAGUGCAAUGGCUUAGCGACUCCGGCACUAUCCAAGUCGAGCACCGAGUACAAGUCUCCUUCAAGAUCGGCGCCUACGAAGACACCUUGGAGUGCGACGUCGUUCCAAUGACAGUUUGUCAUCUUCUCCUUGGACCACCAUGGCAAUUUGAUAGAGGAGUCGUACACAACGGCCUAACAAACCACUACAUCUUCAAAAUGAAGGGCAAGGAGUACAUCCUCCGUCCAAUGUCACCAAGUCAAGUGAUCGCCAGCAAGCACGCCACCCUUCGUGGAGAUCAUAGUGAGAGAGCGAGCCACCAAAAAGAGAGUGAGAGCCACAAGCCAAAAUCGAGUGCCUCCAUGAUGAGCGAAAACAAGAACCUAGUUCUAUUUGCCACCAAACGUGAGAUGAGAGAAGUGUGUGAGAACCCAUCUAGUGUCCUACACUACGUCCUCGUGUGCAAGGACAAUGCACCACAAACUAACAAUUCUUACACUCUUCCUCUAGUGUUGUCUUCUCUUUUGCAGGAAUUCCAAGAUGUUUUCCCCGAUGAGCUACCUCCGGGACUACCUCCAUUACGAGACAUUGAGCAAUGCAUCGACAUCAUCCUCGGAGGAACGCUUCCGAACAACGCUCCCUACCGCGUCAAGUUCUUGAGUUACUUUUGGAAGACCUUAUGCGCCAAGCUUGGAAUCAAGUUACUCUUCUCCACGGCGUACCACCCUUAGACCGACGGCCAAACGGAGGUGACGAACCGAACACUCUCCACUCUACUACGAGUCUUAAUCAACAAGAACAUCAAGGAGUGGGAGGAGUGCUUACCCAUCGCCGAGUACGCCUAGAACCGCGCAAGACACUCAACAACCGGCAAGUCUCCUUUCGACGUCGUUUACAGAUUCAACCCAUUAUCACCAUUGGACAUUCUUCCUCUACCACUCCAAGAGCGCAUCAAUUUGGAUGCAAGUGCGUGUGUGACACAUCUCAAGACGGUGCAUGAAGAUACAAGAGACACCAUCGAGCGCCAAGUUCAACGCCUUGCGACCAAGCUCAACUUCAACAAACAACCUAUGGUCUUCAACAUUCGUGAUCGAGUGUGGCUACAACUUCGCAAGGACCGCUUCCCACAAGAACGCAAAUCCAAGUUUCGACCACGAGCGGAUGGACCCUUCAAGGUGCUUGCACGCUACAACGACAACGCUUACAAGAUCGACCUCCCGCGCGACAAGUACAACGUGAGCGACAUCUUCAACGUCAAAGAUCUCUCUCCUUUCCAUGGUGAUGAAGAAUUUGAUCCGAGGACGGAUCUUCCCCAAGGGAGGGGAGAUGAUGCGGAGCAUCCCAAGGUCAUCCCCAUGGACCUACCAUCGUCUCAUCAAGUGCCUAGUGGACCCAUGACUCGAUCACGUGCAAGAGCUCUUGAAAUCGAGGUGACAUCUCUCCUCUCACAAUUCCACUUCGAUGCACAUGAAGCAUGGCUACUACCUCAUAUGGGUACUUGGUGCAUACGCAGGUACAAUGGAGAAUCUAAGAAGCAAGGACAAGAAGAAGAGGAAGAUGGACGAGAAGACGGAGAAGAAGGAGGGCUGAAGGAAAAGUCCCAGCCACCGGACGACCGGCCGGGACCGGACGUCCGGCGCCUGAAGCGUCAGCCGAGCCCCAGCGAGCGGACGUCCGGUCUAGACCGACCAGUGCCCCUGCACCCGAGGCCAAUGAGCGAACGUCCAGCCCCGACCGGACGACCGGCGCGACCGCACCCGAGCCAACAUCAGCGGAAGUCCGGAGCCUCCGGACGUCCGGCACCCCCAUCACAGAACGGAACCAGCGGACGACCGGAGGACAACGGACGUCCGGCAGCUCCUGGACACCGGAUGACCGGUCCCCAGUGGACGUCUGGUACCUGUCUGCGCACAGUGUUCGGGCCCGAGGCCCAUGUACCCCUUCACUUCGCCCCCUUUUGCACUUAGACUAUAAAUAGACCCCCCAUUCAUCCUAGCUAGGGUUAGCAUUGGUUUAGCUCAUUUGAGAGAUAGAGCAUUGCUCAUCCAUAUCGGAUGUACUCCAUGAGAGAGACUGCAGCCCCUCUUCGGAGAAGAUACACCUUGGAUUCAAGUCCCCUUUCUAAGGGAAGAUUCCCUUGUGGAUUCAAGACCUCCUCACGGAGAAGAACCGGUUACCGUGUAUCGUCCCUAGUUGUCCGUGGAUUCGUGUAUCGUUCUAUGUACUCGAGGAUCUAGCCCAUGUGUGACUUAUUAGUGUCGGUUUAGUGAUUUCCUCUUGUGUUUUCCUUCCGUUCUUCCCCGUGUCCUUCGUGUUUUCCCCGGGAUCCGCUCCUUUCGUGAAAGAUCGGGCGGUUAGGGUCUCCACCCUAAAUCACGGCUGGUACCCCAAAGACGCACUUCUCUGGGUUGAGCUUGAUUUGAAAACGGCAUAGAUUAUCAAAAGUUUCCUUGAGAUCUUCCAAGAGGGUACCACGCUUCUCCGUCUUCACCACAAUAUCGUCUACAUAGAUGUGGGCAUUUCUGCCGAGUUGCUUGAGGAGGCACUUCUGCAUGCAACACUAGAAUGUGGCACCAACGUUUCUCAAGCCGAAUGUCAUAGUCAGAUAGCAAAAGGCUCCGAAUGGUGUGAUGAAGGCGGUCUUCAGGAGGUCGACCGGGUCCAACUUGAUCUACUGGUACCCUGAGUAGGCAUCCAAAAAACUCAGCAGCUCGCAUCUAGCUAUGGAGUCUAUCACUUGGUCAAUCCGAGGCAAAGCAAACAGAUCUUUGGGGCAGGCUUUGUUGAGGCUGGUAUAGUCAAUACACAUGCGCCACUUGUUCUUCUUCAGUACAAGGACUGGGGUGGCUAGACACUCUGGAAAAAAACACUUCCAUAAUGAAGCCGGCUGCCAGAAGCCGGGCUAUUUCUUCAUCAACAAUUCUUCUCUUCUCUUCCGACAGUCGACGGAGGGGCUGUUUGACUGGUUUGGCAUCAGAUCUGACAUGUAGCUUGUGCUCGGCAAAAUCCGUCAGAACACCCGGCAUGUCUUUGGGAGACCAUGCGAAGAUGUCCCAAUUCUCACGGAGGAAAUCGACGAGCUCGCUUUCCUAUUUGCUGUCAAGGUUGGCCCUAUGAUAGUGUGCCUUUCUGGGUGCUCGGGGUCCAAGGGGAUCUUCUUUGUUUCUUUGGCCGGCUGGAAGGAGCCCUGGGUCUCCGACUCUUUGGGAUCUGGUGAUAGGUCCGACUACUUGCUGGCCAUGGCCACCACCCGGUCCAGGAGCUUCUUCUUAGCGGCAAUCAAAAGGGACUCGGCCAGCCGGCUGCUGGCCGUGGCACAGGCGGCGGACUUCUCGUAGUCCCUGGCUAUCGUGAUAAUGCCCUUGGUUCCCGACAUCUUCAUCUUGAGGUAGGCAUAAUGAGGUACUGCCAUGAACUUGGCUAGAGAUGGCCGGCCUAGGAGCACAUGAUAAGGACUCUCCAGGUCAACCACCUCGAACCAAAUUGCCUCGCAGCAGAAGUGAUCUUUGUCUCCAAAGAGGAUGUCUAUCUUGAUCUUGCCGAUUGGUGAGCAGGAAAGGCCAGGCACAAUGCCAUGAAAAACAGUCCGACUGGGCUGGAGCUGUCUCUCUUUGAUGCACAACUUCUCCAUGGUGUCACGGUAGAGGAUGUUGAUGCUUCUACCGCCAUCUAUCAGUAUCCGGCAGAAACGAGCAGCUCGCCUCUACGUUACAAGGGUGGCAUCCAAUACAAGAGCAUAGGAACCCGGAGAAGGCAUCACCUCCGGGUAGUCUGCUUGGCUCCAACUGAUAGGCUUCUCAGACCAGUGCAUGAACUCUACGGCAGCUGAGGCAACGGCGUUCACUUCACGGUGCUGCUAACGUCGGCUGUGCCGGUCACCAGCCACACUGGUGAACACGACGUAAGCUCUGUGCUCCUCGGGGUAUUCAUCUUGGACAGCGCCGACUACUGGACUGGCCGUCAGCUACUGGGGAAGAGGCGGUGGCUGGCCAGUAGGCGGAGGGGGCAGCAGUCCUUCGCCCUUGGAGAUUCGAGUGAGCCAGUGGCACUUCUGGGUGGUGUGGUUGGACGGCUUCGCGCCACUAUGGAAUUUGUAGGGAGCAUCCAGGGUUUUCUCAUAGGAGAAGGCGGGCAGCCAAGCAGGCUUUCCGCCCUUCUGACGCUUGGGGCCGGGUUGUCCCUCCGGCUGCUAGUCCUCAACUCUCGCCACCUGCCGGCUGGUGGGAGCCGGCUGCGGGGCCUUGCGCUUGUUGUCGUUCUGCUACUGGCGCCGACUGUUGUCACCAGCUGGCGUCUGGGGAGCCGGAGGGAGCACCUUUCCGGUCAUGUCCACUUGGAGCUCCAACUUCAUGGAGGAUUCAGCUGUCGCAUACUUGUCUGCAAUGAUCAGUAGCUCGUCGAGGGUAGCCGGCUCAUCGCAGAGGAGUCGGUGCUUGAGCAAGGUGCCCUCUCGGCAUCCAGAAGUGAAGCACUCAAUGGCUUGCACCUCGUGCACCCCUUUCGCAGGAGUUGCUCAGUUCGGCCCACCGCGUCAAGUAGUCGCCGUGGACUCGGUGGGACCUUGGACGCACCAAGAAAGCGGGCGAGGCUUGGGCGGCCGCUUGUAGGUGUUGGUGAAGACUUCAAUGAAAUCUACCGAGCUGUUGAUGCUGUGGGGCUUCAGGCUGUUCAUCCACGUCAGGGCCGUGCCCUGGAGCAUGAGCGGAACAUACUUCACGGCAAUGCGCUUGUUGUCGUUUGCUAUGUUGACGACUGUGGAGUAAUCCACCAGUCAAUCUUCCGGCUUUAUGGAGCCAUUGUACUUAGGCGUGUCUCUUGGGAGCGAGAACCCUUUGGGAAAGGGCUCGUCGCGAAUGCGGGGGCCGAAACAAGGCGGGCUGAUUGCAUCUUCUUCUUCUAGCACUAGGGAUCGCGCCAGAUGGUCGAUCCGGUGACGGGCGUCGUUCUCUCCGACUCCUUAACGGCGGCCUAGCCGGUUGCCUAGAGUCGGGUGGUCAAUAGGCAGCGGGGAGGCACGCCUCUCCUGGCGAGGAGGGGGAGGAGGCGGAUGAUCGUCCCGCCGUUCCACUGCUCGUGGGUGGCUGUCUUGAUCGCGCUCGAUGGUGAUGUGCGUCCCACUGCAGCUAGCAGGCGGCUCUCUGUUUCUUUGGUCAUGGAUGCCGCCUGUCAACGACCAGGAGGUUGCACCAUGCUUUCGGUGAGGGGGAAGGUUUUCGGCAUGCUGGCCGGCUUCCUCCACGUGGCAAUUGGCCUCUUGUUACGCGGCGGCCGUGUCGAUGAGUUCCUGAACGCGCUCCAUCAUGCAGCGACACUCGUCACCCUCCAGGUGGUCCAGCUCGCCUACUGCCGCUUGAGCAGCAUGUAUGUUCUCCAUGGGCGUGGUGUAGACAGGGCGGUCUACCCCAAACAUGCUGGCAAUGGCAGCGCCACGCUGUCGGACCAUGCCUAUGCGGUUGGGCCCGCAAGCAGCCGGCGUGCCGUAGACUACGCAGUCGAUCUCGCACUGGUAGGCCUCGAAGAGGUGUCUCAUGGUGGCCCAAUUCUUGGCGUCCUCGACGAGAGAGACGUGGAAGGCUUGUAGCAUCUCGGCGUUGGCAUCUGCCGCGAUGGGCAUAGACAUGCCCCGCAUUACCGCCUACAGCGGGUCCUGGGUGGCUCCGCUGGAGGCUCCAUCACGGCUGAUGACAAGCACCUCCAUGACGGUGCUGCCACCGCUGUCUGCGCGAGGAAGCGGGUCAUCGAUGACCACCACAUCGGCGGAGAAGGAAUCGAGGGAUGCCGUGUCGGAAUUGACAAGCAUCGGGUCGGUGGAGCCAACUGACUCUAGGUCAGUGGCUGGCUCGUUGGUGAUGUGGAACUUGGCGAGGAAGUCGACAAGGCAGCUCUCGGAGCUGGCUGCUCCCUCGUCGGACGCGGGCUCGUCGGAGAGGUGGAUUGCUUCCUCUUGAGCACUAUGUUGGCUUUACCUUGAAGAGGAAAGGGUGAUGCAGCAAAGUAGCGUAAGUAUUUCCCUCAGUUUUUGAGAACCAAGGUAUCAAUCCAGUAGGAGGCCACACACGAGUCCCUCGCACCUACACAAACAAAUAAAAUCCUCGCAACCAACACAAUAAAGGGGUUGUCAAUCCCUUCAUGGUCACUUACGAAAGUGAGAUCUGAUAGAUAUGAUAAGAUAAUAUUUUUGGUAUUUUUAUGAUAAAUAUGCAAAGCAAGGAAAGCAAAAUAAACAGAAAAGGAAAUAGCUUGUUGACAGAAGAUUAAUAUGAUGGAAAAUAGACCCGGGGGCCAUAGGCUUCACUAGUGGCUUCUCUCGAGAGCAUAGGUAUUACGGUGGGUAAACAAAUUACUGUUGAGCAAUUGACAGAAUUGAGCAUAGUUAUGAGAAUAUCUAGGUAUGAUCAUGUAUAUAGGCAUCACGUCCGAGACAAGUAGACCGACUCCUGCCUGCAUCUACUACUAUUACUCCACACAUCGACCCCUAUACAGCAUGCAUCUAGAAUAUUAAGUUCAAAAGAACAGAGUAACGCUUUAAGCAAGAUGACAUGAUGUAGAGGGAUAAACUAAUGCAAUAUGAAAUAAACCCCAUCUUGUUAUCCUCGAUGGCAGCAAUACAAUAUGUGCCUUGCUGCCCCUACUGUCACUGGGAAAGGACACCGCAAGAUUGAACCCAAAGCUAAGCACUUCUGCUAUUGCAAGAAAGAUCAAUUUAGUAGGCCAAACCAAACUGAUAAUUCGAAGAGACUUGCAAAGAUAACCAAUCAUCCAUAAAAGAAUUCAGAGAAGAUUCAAAUAUUGUUCAUAGAUAAACUUGAUCAUAAACCCACAAUUCAUCGGUCUCAAUAAACACACCGCAAAAGAAGAUUACAUCGAAUAGAUAUCCACAAGAGAGGGGGAGAACUUUGUAUUGAGAUCCAAAAAGAGAGAAGAAGCCAUCUAGCUAAUAACUAUGGACCCGAAGGUCUGAAGUAAACUACUCACACUUCAUCGGAGAGGCUAUGGUGUUGAUGUAGAAGCCCUCUAUGAUCGAUGUCCCCUCCGGCGGAGCUCCGGAAAAGGCCCCAAGAUGGGAUCUCACGGGUACAGAAAGUUACGGCGCUGGAAUUAGGGUUUUGGCUCCGUAUCUGGUAGUUUGGCGGUACAUAGGUAUAUAUAGGAGGAAGAAGUACGUCGAUGGAGCAACAUGGGCCCCACGAGGGUGGAGGGCGCGCCUGGGGGGGGGGGGGUAGGCAUGCCCCCUACCUCGUGCCCUCCUGGUUGCUUUUUGGACGUAGGGUCCAAGUCCUCUAGAUCAUGUUCAUUCCUAAAAUCACGUUCCUGAAGGUUUCAUUCCGUUUAGACUCCGUUUGAUAUUCUUUUUCUAAGAAACUCUGAAAUAGGCAAAAAACAACAAUUCUGGGCUGGGCCUCCGGUUAAUAGGUUUGUCCCAAAAAUAAUAUAAAAGUGUAUAAUAAAGCCCAAUAAUGUCCCAAAUAGGAUAUAAUAUUGCAUGGAACAAUAAAAUAUUAUAGAUACGUCGGAGACGUAUCAAGCAUCCCCAAGCUUAAUUCCUGCUCGUCCUCGAGUAGGUAAAUGAUAAAAACAGAAUUUUUGAUGUGGAAUGCUACUUGCCAUAAUUUCAAUGUAAUUCUCUUAAUUGUGGUAUGAAUAUUCAGAUUUGAAAGAUUCAACACAAAAGUUCAAUAUUGACAUAGAAAUAAUAAUACUUCAAGCAAACUAACUAAGCAAUUAUGUCUCUUCAAAAUAACAUGUCCAAAGAAAGUUAUCCCUAGAAAAUCAUAUAGUCUGGCUAUGCUCCAUCUUCAGCACACAAAGUAUUUAAAUGAUGCACAACCCCAAUGAUAAGCCAAGAAAUUGUUUCAUACUUUUGGUGUUCUCAAACCUUUUCAAUCUUCACACAAUACAUGAGCGUGAGCCAUGGACAUAGCACUAUAUGUGUAAUAGAAUGGUGGUUGUGGAGAAGACAAAAGGGAGAAGAUAGUCUCACAUCAACUAGGUGUAUCAACGGGCUAUGGAGAUGCCCAUUAAUAGAUAUCAAUGUGAGUUAGUAGGGAUUGCCAUGCAACGGAUGCACUAGCGCUAUAAGUAUAUGAAAGCUCAACAAAAAGAACUAAGUGGGUGUGCAUCCAACUCACUUGCUCACGAAGACCUAGGGCAUUUUGAGGAAGCCCAUCAUUGGUAUAUACAAGCCAAGUUCUAUAAUGAAAAAUUCCCACUAGUAUAUGAAGGUGAUAACAUAGGAGACUCUCUAUCAUGAAGAUCAUGGUGCUACAAGUGUGGAAAAAGGAUAGUAGUAUUGUCCCUUUUUAUAUUUUUGGGCCUUCCUUUUUUUAUUUGGCCUUUCUCUUUUUUUGGGACAAUACUCUAUGAAUGAUGAUCAUCACACUUCUAUUUAUUUACAAGUCAAUGAUUACAACUCGAUACUAGAACAAAGUAUGACUCUAUAUGAAUGCCUCCGACAGUAUACCGGGAUAGCAAUAAUGCAUGAGUGACUUGUACGAAAGAAUUAUGAACGGUGGCUUUGCCACAACUAAAAUGUCAACUACAUGAUCAUGCAAAGAAAUAUGACAAUGAUGGAGCAUGUCAUAGUAAACGGAACGAUGGAAAGUUGCAUGGCAAUAUAUCUCAGAAUGGCUAUGGAAAUGCCAUGAUAGGUAGGUAUGGUGGCUGUUUUGAGGAAGGUAUAUGGUGGGUGUAUGAUACCGGCGAAAGGUGCACGGUAUUAGAGAGGCUAGCAAUGGUGGAAGGGUGAGAGUGCGUAUAAUCCAUGGACUCAACAUUAGUCAUAAAGAACUCACAUACUUAUUGCAAAAACCUACUAGUUAUCAAAGCAAAGUACUACGCGCAUGCUCCUAGGGGGAUAGAUUGGUAGGAAAAGACCAUCGCUCAUCCCCGACCGCCACUCAUAAGGAAGACAAUCAAUAAAUAAAUCAUGCUCCAACUUCUUCACAUAACGGUUCACCAUAUGUGCAUGCUACGGGAAUCACAAACUUCAACACAAGCAUUUCUCAAAUUCACACUACUCAACUAGCACGACUCUAAUAUCACCAUCUCCAUAUCUCAAAACAAUUAUCAAGUAUCAAACUUCUCAUAGUAUUCAACACACUCAUAAGAAUUAUUUUAUUAAUCUUGAAUGCCUAACAUAAUUAAAGCAAAUUGCCACGCUGUUUUGUAGGACUCUCAAAAUAAUAUAAGUGAAGCAUGAGAGAAUAAUAGUUUCUAUAAAACAAAUCCACCACCGUGCUCUAAAACAUAUAAGUGAAUCACUAGAGCAAAAACUAUAUAACUCAAAAGAUAUAAGUGAAGCACAUAGAGUAUUCUAAUAAUGUUCAAAUCAUGUGUGUUUCUCUCAAAAGGUGUGUGCAGCAAAGAUGAUUGUGGAAAACUAACAAAUAAAGACUCAAAUAAUACAAGACGCUCCAAGCAAAACACAUAUCAUGUGGCGAAUAAAAAUAUAGCUCCAAGUAAAGUUACCGAUGGAAGUAGACGAAAGAGGGGAUGCCUUCCAGGGCAUCCCCAAGCUUUGGCUUUUAGGUGUACUUAGAUAAUCUUGGGGUGCCAUGGGCAUCCCCAAGCUUAGGCUCUUGCCACUCCUUGUUCCAUAAUUCAUCAAAUCUUUACCCAAAACUUGAAAACUUCACAACACAAAACUUAAAGUAGAAAAUCUCAUGAGCUCCGUUAGAGACAGAAAACAAAACACCACUUCAAGGUACUGUAAUUAACUCAUUAUUUAUUUCUAUUGGUGUUAAACUUAAUUUAUUCUAACUUCUAUCUGGUUUAUAAACUAUUUUACUAGCCAUAGAUUCAUCAAAAUAAGCAAACAACACACGAAAAACAGAAUCUGUCAAAAACAGAACAGUCUGUAGUAAUCUGUAGCUAAUGCAAGUUCUGGAACCCCAAAAAUUCUAAAAUAAAUUGCUGGACGUGAGGAAUUUAUCUAUUAAUCAUAUUCAAAAAUAAUUAACUAAAUAGAACUUUCCAAAUAAAAAUGGCAGCAAUUCUCGUGAGCACUAAAGUUUCUAUUUUUUUACAGCAAGAUUAAAAAAGACUUUCCCCAAGUCUUCCCAACGGUUCUACUUGGCACAAGCACUAAUUAAAAACAAAAAACACAACGAAAACAGAGGCUAGAUAAAUUAUUUAUUACUAAACAGGAGAAAAAAGCAAGGAAUAAAAAUAAAAUUGGGUUGUCUCCCAACAAGCGCUUUUCUUUAAAGCCUUAUAGCUAGGAAUAAUAUUUCAAUGAUGCUCACAUGAAAGACAAGAAUUGAAGCACAAAGAGAACAUCAUAAAACACGUGACAAACACAUAUAAGUCUAACAUACUUCCUAUGCAUAGGCAUCUUAUAGGCAAACAAAUUAUCAAGGCAAGCAAAAACUAGCAUAUGCAAGAAGCGGAAAGAAACAAUAGCAAUCUCAACAUAACGAGAGGUAAUUUAGUAACAUGAAAAUUUCUACCACCAUAUUUUACUCUCUCAUAAUAAUUGCAUGUGGGAUCAUAAGCAAAUUCAACAAAAUAUCUAUCACAUAAAAUAUUUUCAACACAAUCCACAUGGAUGCAAAGUUGACACUCUUCCAAAAUAGUGGGAUUAACAUUAACUAAAGUCAUGACCUCUCCAAACCCACUUUUAUCAAAAAUUUCAUGAGAUUGAACAUUCUCCAAGUAUGUGCGAUCUAAAUUUGACACUCUUCCAAACCCACUUUCAAUAAUAUUGCAAACACUAUUAUCAAUCUCAUAUUCAUCAUGGGGCUUAAAUAAAUUUUCAAGAUCAAAAGAAGAAUCACCCCAAUCAUGAUCAUUGCAACAAAUAGUAGUCAUAGCAAAACUAGCAUCCCCAAGCUUAAGGUUUUGCAUAUCAUUAACACAAUUGACAUUAAGAGAAUUUAUAAUAACAUCAUUGCAAUCAUGCUUUUCAUUGAUGGAACUAUUAAGUAUGGGUACAAUAGCAACGAUCUCAUGUUUAACAUAAGGAACUAUAGCAAAUUCAUCUUCAUAAAUAUUGGCAUCAUGGCCACAAGAAUAGCAAGCAUCAUGUUCAUCAAGGGAUAUUUCAAUCAAAUCAUCAGAGUCAUAAUUAUCUGUAGAUUCAUGCAUAUCAUCAUUUUCUUUCGAAGCAACGGUCAUUCUUUCAAUAAAUUCUUUGACAUAGACAUUAUGAGCAUAGUUUUCAAAGCAAUAUUUAAGUAUGUCAAAUUUUCAGAUUCGUAGGGAGUAAUAUCAUAUUUUUCAAUCAAAGAAGCAACUUUGUAAGCACCCUUAAAAGCAACAAAUUCUUCAAUUCGUUCGAUAUCGUAGUAACUAUAAACACCCUUUGCAUAAGAAGAUAAGAUUUCAAUAUCAUUAAAAUCACAUAGGUAGGAGAGGUAUUUUUUACGGUUCUUAGAGAAACAAGUAAAAUCACAAAUUUCACAAAGAUUCCAAGCAUAACACAUCAAUCUGUUUAUUUGAUUCCAUAAGAGUCUCCCUUUUUCAGACAAACGGUGACGCACAAAAUGAGCAUGCUCAUCUAAAGAUUUCCCAUCAACUAGGCUAGUUGGGGUAUCAGCACGAGCGCAUAAGGAUCGAAGAUGAUCUAAGUAGAACACUUUAAGUGGAUCUAUAUCAAUAGAUUUUUAGCAAGCAACGAUGCAAGCAAAUAGAAGGCACAUGGAAACACAAACAAGGAUACAUACGGGAAGAAGGCAAACAAAAGAAGAGGCAAAUAGGGAAAGAGAAGGAGGACGGAGAGAGAGAGGGCAAAUAAAACGGCAAGGGUGAAGUGGGGGAGAGGAAAACGAGAGGCAAAUGGCAAAUAAUGUAAUGCAGGAGAUAAGGGUUUGUGAUGGGUACUUGGUAUGUUGACUUUUGCGUAGACUCCCCGGCAACGGCGCCAGAAAUCCUUCUUGCUACCUCUUGAGCACUGCGUUGGUUUUCCCUUGAAGAGGAAAGGGUGAUGCAGCAAAGUAGCGUAAGUAUUUUCCUUAGUUUUUGAGAACCAAGGUAUCAAUCCAGUAGGAGGCCACGCACGAGUCCCUCGCACCUACACAAACAAAUAAAAUCCUCGCAACCAACGCAAUAAAGGGGUUGUCAAUCCCUUCACGGUCACUUAUGAAAGUGAGAUCUGAUAAGAUAAUUUUUUUGGUAUUUUUAUGAUAAAGAUGCAAAGUAAAGAAAGCAAAAAUAAACGGAAAAGGAAAUAGCUUGUUGCCGGAAGAUUAAUAUGAUGGAAAAUAGACCCGGGGGCCAUAGAUUUCACUAGUGGCUUAUCUCGAGAGCAUAAGUAUUACGGUGGGUAAACAAAUUACUGUUGAGCAAUUGACAGAAUUGAGCAUAGUUAUGAGAAUAUCUAGGAAUGAUCAUGUAUAUAGGCAUCAUGUCCGAGACAAGUAGACCGACUCCUUCCUACAUCUACUACUAUUACUCCACACAUCGACCGCUAUCCAGCAUGCAUCUAGAGUAUUAAGUUCAAAAGAACAAAGUAACGCUUUAAGCAAGAUGACAUGAUGUAGAGGGAUAAACUCAUGCAAUAUGAAAUAAAACCCCCAUCUUGUUAUCCUCGAUGGCAACAAUACAAUACGUGCCUUGCUGCCCCUACUGUCACUGGGAAAGGACACCGCAAGAUUGAACGCAAAGCUAAGCACUUCUCCUAUUGCAAGAAAGAUCAAUCUAGUAGGCCAAACCAAACUAAUAAUUCGAAGAGACUUGCAAAGAUAACGAAUCAUACAUAAAAGAAUUCAGAGAAGAUUCGAAUAUUGUUCAUAGAUAAACUUGAUCAUAACCACAAUUCAUCGGUCUCAACAAACACACCGCAAAAGAAGAUUACAUCGAAUAGAUCUCCACAAGAGAGGGGGAGAACUUUGUAUUGAGAUCCAAAAAGAGAGAAGAAGCCAUCUAGCUAAUAACUAUGGACCCGAAGGUCUGAAGUAAACUACUCACACUUCAUCGGAGAGGCUAUGGUGUUGAUGUAGAAGCCCUCGAUGAUCAAUGCCCCCUUCGGCGGAGCUCCGAAAAAGGCCCCAAGAUGGGAUCUCAUGGGUACAGAAAGUUACGGUGGUGGAAUUAGGGUUUUGGCUCCGUAUCUGGUAGUUUGGGGGUACGUAGGUAUAUAUAGGAGGAAGAAGUACGUCGGUGGAGCAAUGUGGGCCCCACGAGGGUGGAGGGCGCGCCUGGGGGGCUAGGCACGCCCCUCUACCUUGUGCCCUCCUGUUGCUUUCUUGACGUAGGGUCCAAGUCCUCUGGAUCAUGUUCGUUCCGAAAAUCACGUUCCCGAAGGUUUCAUUCCAUUUGGAUUCCGUUUGAUAUUCUUUUUCUGAGAAACUCUGAAAUAGGCAAAAAACAACAAUUCUGGGCUGGGCCUCCGGUUAAUAGGUUAGUCCCAAAAAUAAUAUAAAACUGUAUAAUAAAACCGAAUAAUGUCCAAAACAGGAUAUAAUAUAGCAUGGAACAAUCAAAAAAUAUAGAUACGUUGGAGACAUAUCAUGGAUUCGCCGAUGAGAUCAGCGAGGCAGGCCACCGCGCAAGCGACUUCUGCGCCAUGCAGAGCGUCAAGGCAAACGCCAUAGGUGUGCCGGGCUGGCUGCGCUCGCUAGGGCAAAAAAGGGUUCCCAUCCAGAACAGAUCUCCGGACGAUGGUUGUAACAUCCCAAAUUUUCAAUUUGGAAUGUUAUACAUUAGAGCAUCAUUGCAUAUCAUAUUUUAUUGCAUUUUUGGCUUGAUCCUAGAAAUUCUACGCAACUUACGGACGUACGGAGAGAGUUGGGGAUUUCAUUAUUUUCAUGUUCGAGUUUUCUCGAAUUUUGGAAAGAGGAUCGUUUGAUUUUAAUUAUUUUCUCUUCAAUUAUUUCUUUAAUAAGAAUAAAAGAGAGAGGAUAAAAUGACUUCCUCAAAAUAGAGAAAUAUCGAAGAUUUAAUAUUAAAAUUAAAUAAGACUUUUAUUCAGAGUUUUAUCGCUAUUUUAUUUGAAUUAGGAAAAAUAUUCGUUUUUCAAAUUUGCAUUUUAGGCUCAAAUAAAUGUUCACCUUGUCCGGCUUAUUUUUAGAGGACGGGGAAAAAAUAUUUCGGUAUUUUUGGAGUCUGUUUAGUAUUUCUUUUCUUUCUUUUUCUGCACGUCAUAUUUUUUUAAAGUGAACCGACUCCGGGCCGUACCCGAGCGGGACUCCGCCCGGGGGGCCUUUAUAAGCUGCUGCCCCAAGUCGCCAAAAGCCCACAGCCGCCGCCGAAGCCCACCCGCGCCCUAACCCUAACCCUAGCCGCCACGCCGCGCCGCGCCGCCCGCCACCGCCACCGGAGCCGUACCGCCGCCACACCGCAGGAGCCGGACCCCACCGGACCUGAGGUAGCCGCCUCAGUUUUCGUGAGAAAACCGUUUGAUUUUUUUUGAAACCCUAGAUCCGUUUUUUCAGAUCUGGUUUGGUUUAUUUUUUUCGGUUUAGUUACUUAACGAACGCCCGUUUUUAGGUUCAUUUUAACGAACGGUUUUCAUCGUUUAGCCGCAGACAGCGAACAUUCGUUCGUUAGCCUGUUCGUCAGUUUUUCUUUUUCUCGGAUUUUCCACGAUUAUUUUUUAUCGCGAUUUCUGAUCCGAUUUUCGUUUUAGUAUAACUUUUCGCUCGUCUCGAAACCCUCUUUCCGUUUAACCAACUUGAACAAGAUUUUGAUAUAGUAAAAUUUGAGCUUAGUCCAGAUUAGUAAUCGGAUCUUGUUUCUUUCGCAGUUUGAGUUUCGUUGCUCCGUUUGAUUUGAUUCUAUUUGCAAACCGAAGUUCUUAAGUUGAACUUUCUGGUUAGAUCCCUUAGUUGAGUUUUACCCGUGCGUCUUGUUUGAUUGCUUAUUGUAUGCUUGUUUGAUUGCGAUAGAGUACCCGGAGUGCGAAGCGUGCUACAUCGAGUCCCUAGGUUUUGCGGAUCAUCAGCAAGGAAAGUAACACUUUGAUCAUAUCCCUUUAUCACCCAGUUUUUAUGCAUUAGUUUCAAACCUCAAACAUUGCAUGGUUAGGACUUGAUAACAAGUGGGAUUUGGGAAGUAGAUGAGGUAGUACCUAUUCACCUGUUUAUAACCCUUGGGAGUUACUUCUACGUAUUGCUUAUAUUGCCAUGCUAUGCUCGUAGACGUGGUUUGGGUGAGUAAAACCAUGACAGAUGUGAGAUUGUUAAUUAAUGGUUCAACUUAAGGUGGCAACUUUAAUACACAUCUGGGUGGAUUGCUUGUCGGGCACCUGGAGAAUCCAGUGUUGUCCUAGGAUUUCCCGGAGUACCCGUGUGAUAAUCCUAAGGUCUGCCACCCAGGCUCAAAGGGAACUGAGAUAUUUCAUGCUAGAAACUUCCAUGUGCAGCCACAAGCUAUUAUGGGCUCUAGCAUAGUUGAGUAAGUUGCGUGAACCUCUUGAAGAGGUAGACUAGCAGAUGUAGUGGGUUGUAGGUGGUAUAGUCUAUCCGGAGUAGAGAGUUAAUUCUUCUGAAAGACUGUGGCUCGGUCAUCCGUUUCUCAAACAUCAUGUAGUGUGAGAAAUCCAACAGAGGAGAUCGAGUCUUGUGGGGAAAAGUGUGCAAACCUCUGCAGAGUGUACAAACUAAUCAUGGUUAGUCGUGUCCCCGGUUAUGGACAUCUUGAGUAUCUAGUACUUGGAUUAUCAUAUGUAUCUCAUCACUCUAAAUUAAUAUUGUUGGGUUGAUAAUUACUUUUAAUUGGGAUUGAGUUGGAGGAACCUUCUCAAUGAUGUUUCAACUACCAUGAUAGUUAAAUAAAAUAUAUGCCUUUGUUGUGGGGAAAAAUUGGCUUUUCGCAAAACUUUUACCGUAGAGCUUUCCACUAGCCAAAUAUGCAUAUAGUGAUAGCAUUAUUCUGUUCUUGCUCUACCGUGUUAUAUUGCCAUCAUAUUCCAUGUGCUGACCCGUUUUCGGGCUGCAACGUAUUAUGUUACAGACUUUUCAGAUGAGGAGUAAGGUUCGUUAGGUCGUUGUCGUACAGCUCAGCUAUGCCGUUGGAUUUGAUGGACUCACUUUAUCUUCCAAGCCUUCCGGUGUUAUCGUAUGAGAUGGCCUUAAGCCAUAUUUAUUGUAAUAAGUUCUCUAUUGAGACAUUUGAUGUAAUAAGUGUGGGAUUGCUACUCUGUUAUAAAUCCUUCGAGUACUGUGUGUGUCAGCAUUAUUGAUCCAGGGAUGACACUGAAGCACAGAGACUUGACCAUUUGAGGUCGGGUUGCUACAAGAUGGUAUCAGAGCACACGCUGAGUAUAGGACACGACCACUAAGCUAAAGCCCUAGAUCACCACUCUCUUCUCAUUUCUGACUCCUCUCCAUUUUCUACUCUUUAGGAUGGCGGACGCAAGGAACAAGUUUGCACAACCGGAUGGAGAGGCACCUUUUGGACGACACUUGAAGGAAGUCACUAAGUACCUGAAUAUUGGAAUACCAAGCUUCACCGGGACUUACAACGCCACUUUACCAGAAGAGGAGCGAUGGAAGAUUCAAGUUCAAGUUCCUGGAAGGACAUUCGUGCCAGUCACCAAACCCAUAGAGUUUUCCUUUGAUGCACCAACCUGGAGUCUAGGAAAGAGUAUGGCAGCUCACAUCACCAUGGGACACAUUGGAGAAGUUUACCAUAAGGAGCUUAAGGAUACUAUCUAUCAGAUUAGUGGGCGCCAAGAUGAGCAAUGGGAGAUGAUCAGCACCAGGAAGGAUAGAUCAAUCGCACCUUUCAUCCAGGAGUUAAACCAGCACAUUUGUCACCAGGAGAACCAGAUGUGCGCAUGCAUGAUAGAUCUGAAGAAGGUAAUGACAAGGAUCACGGAACUGGGGAAAGAACUCAAGGCUACUCGCGAAGAUUAUGAGGAGGAAAUUGUCAUACUAGUGGACAAGAAUGAUGAUCUGGAAAAGGAAGCUGAUGAGGACAUGACUACCUUGGAUACGACCAAAAAUAUUGCAUACAUGCAUAUUUGUCAGGUGAUUUCUAAUGCAAACUAUUCAAUAAUCUAUUUAUAUUAUCCAGAACAAAAAUACUUCACACACUUUUGUGUUUUGUCUAAUUGCAGGUGUAUGGGACAUUUGUACAAUCCACAUAUGAAGAUAAGGGAAAAGGAGAAGUUUAGGUUGUGUUCAAAAAGUCCUCUCACGUCACUUUUGGGGCAAGAGAAGAUAGAGUCCAAGUCUCUCACGUUCUGGAUUCAGAUUCGGACUGCACAGACAUACCUGACUCAAAACGCCAAUAACUUUUUCAUACGGACUCCGAAUUGGGUGAUUCUUUUUUUGUUGGAAACUAGAUUUCGUGCUCUUUCCAACCCAACUAGAUUCACCUUCAAAUUCGUCCGGAGCGUUGAGUUACGGACGAAACAAUCUGAUGUUGCAGCAGAGUCCGAGUCAAACUACAAGCCCAAAGGUGUUGCAUCAUCUCCACUUGGGCCCAUGAGCCUUGUAUGACCUAGGGUUAGUUUUAGGCUGCCUUGGGAUGUCCUCCCACCUCCUUGGCCGCCACCCCUUGCUCCUAUAUAAGUAGAUCCAUCUAGUAGCUUUUUCCUUGGGAUCUGUUUAGUUAAAAGUUAGCCAUUGCAACUUCGUGUACUUCGUUUGUGUCCAACGACCAGACCAAGACCGCUUACGGAUCCCCACCAUUAUCAAUACCUCAUAUAUAUUUGCGAUAUUCAGAUUGCUUUAUCAUAUUCUUGCUCGUUCUUCUAUUGCUUGCAGGAAUAGACCUUCGUGGUCAGGCUGACCGUGCUUCCGGCAUCGUCAGUAACCUCAGGAGAUUGGUUUAGCGAUUGCUAAGGCACAACGUCGUGCAUGUUUGUAGUCGGAUCGUCAAAGUCGUCUCCACCAAAUCGAUAGUUAUCAUCUCAUCGAAAGAUCGGGACACCCUCGCCUCUAUCAAGUGGUAUCAGUUUUCAGGUUGCUCGGUGAGAAUUUCCAGUUUUCCUAGAUUAGAUUUAUUUUCUUACCUAUUGUCCAAGAAAAAGCCACAAAAAAGAGUUAGAUCUAUUCAUCCUUGGUCCAAGCCAGUCUGAGCCUUUGCAAUUUUCUUUUCAUUGCUUGCAUAGUUGAAUUAUCGGUUGCAUCGUCGUGUCGAGUUGCUGGUCUUAGUGUCUAGUUCGUUUAGAGUUUCGAGUUCUGUUCACAUUAGUCACGCCACCGCUGCAUCAUUAUCUUUUCCGCUGUCCACCACCCAUCCAUCAAUUUCCACCACGUGCUACCCACCAUUCAUUGUCAUAAUAAUAGUUGAGAUCGUUCACAUCUUCACUUGAUCCAAUCUGCAUCUUAUCUAGUUUGUUUUGGAAAGAGGGAGAAAAAAAGAGAGAAAAAAAAGUAAAAAAAAAGUCAGAGAAAAAAAAAGAAAGGAAAAGAAAAAAAAGUGUGAGAAAAAAAGAGAGGAGAAAAAAACAAAAUUCGGAUCUAUCUAGACUCAAUCUCGUAGUUGAAUUCGGAUUGGAAUCUGUUUUGUGCACUGUUUAGUAAAACAGGCAUAACUUCCUCAUACGAAGUCUGUUUUGCCUCCGCGAGUACUCAAACGAAGGCUAGCGACGAGCCGCAUCUAAAUAGUUGAAGAAGCAAGUUCAAUAUUUGGCACCUCAAAAUCGGCUUCUAAAUAGGUCUUUUUGUCCUCCGAAGUUCAUGAACACAGCUUAUUCCAGUUUUUCAGGCCAGUUUUCGAAUUUUUUGACUCCUCAUAUCAACUCAGAAUUGAGCGAUUCCUUUGGUGUUUGAAAGCUUGAGUCAAUCUCAUUCUUGAAAAAAAAAUUCAAAAAAAUCGGCACAAACUUUUUCAGAGGAAAGUUGGAGACAAAGUUGUUGAUAUAUCCUACUUGGCUGUUGUUUCACAUCACUAUCUUUACUGCCAUUGUGAUCUUCACUUAUAUCUUGCUGUCCAGAGCUACUUAGUAUCCUUCAUUGAUGCUAGUUGUGCUACGACGUGACGUCAUUAGUGUUCUAGGCUCGCGUCUCUAGUUCGGUCUAGCCUAGGACCAGCACAGUACCAUCGUUGAGCGUUUAUUCAACAUUGCAUCUCUGAAUUGAUUAUUGCUAAUCUUUUGCUACCAUAUAUAGCCAACCCAGCUCCACAUAUUUCUACACCGUGUAUACGUACGUUCCCCUGGCAAUCGCUUUACACAAUCUUCAGAGUUAUUUGACACCGCUGGUUGCCUGUCACCACCUGCUGCUUGGUAAGAACUUGUAAGAUAUUGAUAUUUGCUUUACUGUGAGCGCUUUACCACCACACCCUGGUAGUUCAUAGGAACAUUAUUCUUGAAUUUUGUUUCUUGUUUCUACUAAUCAUGACAGGUUCUGAAGAUAGAAGUUCUUGGACGACGGACACAUCUUCACCAUCACGAGAGUUGGGACAACACACACAAGCACAUGGUCAGGUUAUUUUUUUACCGUCAUUUGAGGGUAGAUUUAAUCCUACUACUUAUCUAGCUUGGGAGCUUGAAGUAGAACAAGUUUUUAGUCACCAUGACUUUUCUGAACUUGAGCGAGUGCGAGCAGCCACUAGAGCAUUUACUGAUUUUGCUUCUGUUUGGUGGAGUGUACAUUGUAAGAAAAACAUUGAUAACCAACCCACAACUUGGAAAGUUUUGAAAGCUGUAAUGAGACAACAAUUUUUCCCUCCUUAUUAUCGUCGUGAAUUGCUUCGCAAAUUUGAACAAUUUAAACAAGGCAACAACACUGUUCAUGCUUACUACCAAGAGUUCAAAUCUUAUAUGCAUCAUUGUGACAUAGAAGAAUCUGAGAAUGAUACAAUGAAUAGAUUUUUUGGUGGUUUGAACCAUAAUAUUCAGGCAAGAUUUCAGUAUAUUCCUCGUUGCAUUACUGGUAUGUAUGUCCGUGCCUGUACCUUUGAGAGACAGAUACAGGAGGAUGCAUUAGGUGACUACAACAACUACUAUUCCAGUUCAUACUCACCACCGCCGGUGGGUUCCUCCAUCAUUGCACCUCGGAUUAUGAGCGCGACAUCAUCUCAAGGGUAUGGUACAUUGUCAACGUCCGUACCUACAUCAGCAACAUCUUUGCCACAAGGUAACAGUAAAGGUAUUGAUGAUAUAACUUCACAUGAGAAUGAUGCAUGCCUAGUUAACUUGAAUGCGUCAUGUACUGAGUUACCUGUUGAUUUGAGCACAUCACCUAUUUUAGAGAAUCUUGUUACUAUCAUGAAUGCGUCAUGUGAUCAAACAACUGAAAUAUCAACAAUUUUGAGUGCACCCAUUGAAUUAACUGUUGAUGCAAAAGAACUAAUGUUUAAUCAUUUUGAUAUGGCCUCCAAUCUUGGUGAUGAUUCUGUGUCCAAUGACUUAUUGCAUGUUUGCUUAUUUAAGCAUGUUGUAGCAUGUAAAUUUGAUGCAAGUAAGGUUUAUUCACCAAAGUUGGGAUGGUUUAAUGAUGAACAUUGCGAAUCUUUUGAAAUGAAUAAGAGCUUCACUUAUAUGUGCAAACUGAGUUCUAAUAUUUUCAUGCCUUCUACUUCUUGUGAUAAUUUUUUGGCUUUAGUUUUUAUGAACUAUGAAAGUUACUCAUGUAUACAUGUGUCAUACGUGCAAAAAUCAAAGGAAGUUAAACUGGAUGACAUAUACAUAUACAACAUGUACACCUUGUCUCUUUUGUUAGCCACAUUUCAGAUUAAGCAACGCCGAGGACGGCUUUGUUUUCAAAAAGGGGAGGAUGAUGAGGACAUGACUACCUUGGAUACGACCAAAAAUAUUGCAUACAUGCAUAUUUGUCAGGUGAUUUCUAAUGCAAACUAUUCAAUAAUCUAUUUAUAUUAUCCAGAACAAAAAUACUUCACACACUUUUGUGUUUUGUCUAAUUGCAGGUGUAUGGGACAUUUGUACAAUCCACAUAUGAAGAUAAGGGAAAACGAGAAGUUUAGGUUGUGUUCAAAAAGUCCUCUCACGUCACUUUUGGGGCAAGAGAAGAUAGAGUCCAAGUCUCUCACGUUCUGGAUUCAGAUUCGGACUGCACAGACAUACCUGACUCAAAACGCCAACAACUUUUUCAUACGGACUCCGAAUUGGGUGAUUCUUUUUUUGUUGGAAACUAGAUUUCGUGCUCUUUCCAACCCAACUAGAUUCACCUUCAAAUUCGUCCGGAGCGUUGAGUUACGGACGAAACAAUCUGACGUUGCAGCAGAGUCCGAGUCAAACUACAAGCCCAAAGGUGUUGCAUCAUCUCCACUUGGGCCCAUGAGCCUUGUACGACCUAGGGUUAGUUUUAGGCUGCCUUGGGACGUCCUCCCACCUCCUUGGCCGCCACCCCUUGCUCCUAUAUAAGUAGAUCCAUCUAGUAGCUUUUUCCUUGGGAUCUGUUUAGUUAAAAGUUAGCCAUUGCAACUUCGUGUACUUCGUUUGUGUCCAACGACCAGACCAAGACCGCUUACGGAUCCCCACCAUUAUCAAUACCUCAUAUAUAUUUGCGAUAUUCAGAUUGCUUUAUCAUAUUCUUGCUCGUUCUUCGAUUGCUUGCAGGAAUAGACCUUCGUGGUCAGGCUGACCGUGCUUCCGGCAUCGUCAGUAACCUCAGGAGAUUGGUUUAGCGAUUGCUAAGGCACAACGUCGUGCAUGUUUGUAGUCGGGUCGUCAAAGUCAUCUCCACCAAAUCGAUAGUUAUCAUCUCAUCGAAAGAUCGGGACACCCUCGCCUCUAUCAGAAGCUGGGAGUAUUCAUGGGAGACCCCACGCCAGGAGGAGAAGACGAUGAACCCAAGGAGAUUCGUUUUGGGGACUACAUCAUCAUCAACGACACUGACUCAGACCCCGACGAUAGCGAUGAUGAAUAUGAAGACAAAGCUGGAGCAGACAUCAUGGAGUCUUUGACCGAUCAAUAUUUAUAGUAGACCACCACAUCAGUAGUAGUAUUCCACCAUGCAUAUAGUAUAGUCCGAGCACUUUUGUAACUAUAGUUAUAUCGAUUGUAUGCCUUGCUUGAUUGAUUGAGUGAUGUGAUUGUGUUUGUCUCAUGUGCAUAUGGUUAGUGUUUUUCUCACUAGACCUCAUUCUAUUCUAUUCUCUUUCCUCUAAACCCUCAGAUGCCUCCGAGACGUGACCCCGGAUUUACUUUCCCACCGGAGCUCACUCAGUUGAUCCAACAACAGAAUACACCGAUGCAAUUGUUAGUUCAGAAUCUAGGCAACAACAACAAUAACAACAACAACAACAACCCACCACCACCACCACCAGUUGACAACUUAGCCCGCUUUCUGAGGUUGCAGCCACCGGUGUUUUCUAGCAGCACCGAGCUGAUAGUGGCAGAUGAUUGGCUCCGCAAGAUUGGAAGGGAGUUAACCAGUGUAGGUUGUACCAUGCUGAGAAGGUGCGUUUUGCCGCACAUCAGUUGGAUGGAUCAGCAGCCUCAUGGUGGGAGAAUUAUAUAGUCACCUAUCCUAUAGCGACUGUUACAUGGGAUCAGUUUCAGCAAGCAUUCUGCACCGCCCAUGUCUCAACGGGAGCUAUGAGCAUGAAGAAGCGCGAGUUUCGCAACUUGCGCCAAGGGAACCGUACUGUGGGGCAGUACGUGGAUGAAUUUAGUAAGAUGUCUCGUUAUGCCCCUAACGAUGUGGCCACAGAUGCCGCGAAGCAGGAGAAGUUUAUGGAAAGGCUGAACGAUGAGAUGAGCAUGCAGUUGAUGGUGGCAACAUUUAACAACUACCAAGAGUUGGCACACAAUGCUCUUAUGAUUGAAGGGAAGUAGCAACAAAUUGAGAGCCGCAAAAGAAAGUAUGGACAAGGAAGGUACAACUCAGGAGCUCAGCAGAAGCCUCGUCUAACCCCGAACUCGGGAGGACUUGUUCACAACCAUGGAGGUCAUAACCAUAACAGAGGAAGUUCGCAUAACCACAAUGGUUCCAGGAAUGGGACUGGGAACGGAACAAGCAACAAUCAGACCCGCUCCAAUCCAGCCACACCCGCCAAGAGAGACCUAAGUAACAUUACUUGCUUCAAGUGCGGGAAGACUGGACACUAUGCCAUGGAGUGCCCGGAAGCGAAGAAUGGAAACGGUAAUGGGAGCGCUGGGAAGAAGCCUAUUCCAUUCAACAAAGGACAAGUGAACCACGUUAACAUGGAGGAGGUUGAAGGGCAGCCACACACAGUUAUCGUUAAGUUUUUGGUUAAGACUUUUACCGCCCUUGUUCUUUUUGAUACUGGUGAAUUGCAUUCAUACAUAUCAAGGGGAUUCGUGGAUAAGUUUAAACUACGAACCCAAACCCUUAGGACCCCUCUGUUAGUAAGUUCACCUGGAGCAGAGUAUAUAUCCAGCCCAUGGUGCGACCAGAUACCCCUAACCAUUGGUAGCCAUGUUUUUCUGUCAGACCUAAUAAUUUUGGAGUCACAAGGAUUGGAUGUGAUAUUAGGCAUGGACUAGAUGUCAAAGUAUGGAGGAAGCAUUGACUGUGCUAGUAAAUCAAUUUGUCUCACCACCCCGGAGCGGAAAAGGAUCAAGUAUGUAUCUAGACAUGCGCCUAGGAGUACCCAAGUAAAUACCCUCACGGGAGUUGUUCAGGAGGAAGUGCCUGUAGUGAAGGAUUACCCAGAUGUUUUUCCAUAGGAGUUACUAGGCAUGCCACCAGAUCGAGACAUCGAGUUUUUGAUAGAGCUAUUGCCAGGUACCGGGCCAAUAUCAAAGAGACCCUACCAGAUGCCCGCAAAUGAUCUGGAGGAGAUUAAGAAGCAGAUCAAGGAGUUAUUGGAGAAAGUUUACAUCCGAUGGAGUUCAUCACCAUGGGGAGCCCUAGUACUUUUGGUUGAGAAGAAGGAUAAGUCUCUAAGGAUGGUUGUUGAUUAUCGUGCAUUGAAUAAGGUGACGAUCAAGAACAAGUACCCACUACCGAUGAUCAAUGAUUUGUUUGACCAGUUGCAAGGAGCUAAGGUGUUCUCAAAGAUCGAUCUGCGAUUAGGAUAUCAUCAGCUGAAGAUCCGGGAAAAGGAUAUACCUAAAACCGCAUUUACCACAAGGUACGGGUUAUAUGAGUAUACGGUCAUGUCAUUUGGACUGACUAACGCCCCUGCCUAUUUCAUGAGCAUGAUGAACAAGGUGUUCAUGGAAUAUUUGGAUAAGUUUGUUGUGGUGUUCAUUGAUGAUAUAAUGGUAUACUCAAAGAAUGAAGAGGAGCACAAAGAGCAUUUGCGUUUAGUUCUCGAGAAACUCAGGGAACAUCAGUUGUAUGCCAAGUUCAGCAAAUGUGAGUUUUGGUUGAAAGAAGUUGGAUUCCUUGGACAUGUUAUAUCAGGAGAAGGUAUAGCCGUAGACCCCACCAAGGUACAGUCAGUCACUGAAUGGUUGGCACCCACUUCAGUUAGCGAGAUCCACAGCUUUCUUGGACUCGCAGGAUACUACCGGAGAUUCAUUGAGAAUUUGUCCAAGAUUGUGAAGCCAAUGACAGAGCUAUUGAAGAAGGACAUCAAAUUUAAUUGGACGGAAGAAUGUGAAGCGAGUUUUCAGGAGUUAAAGAAACAUCUGACUACAGCCCCAGUACUGAUUCUACCGGAUACACGCAAGGAUUUUCAAGUGUAUUGCGACGCCUGUCGCUUAGGACUUGGAGGAGUACUGGUGCAGGACGGAAGAGUUGUCUCGUAUGCCUCGCGACAACUGAAACCGCAUGAGUUAAAUUAUGCCACGAAUGACUUGGAGUUGGCUGCCGUAGUGCAUGCGUUGAAAACUUGGAGACAUUAUCUUAUUGGAAACCAUUGCGAUGUAUACACUAACCAUAAGAGUUUGAAGUACAUUUUCACACAGAAUGAGCUGAAGCUUAGGCAGAGGAGAUGGUUGGAGCUUAUAAAGGAUUAUGACAUGAAGCUUCACUAUCAUCCAGGCAAGGCCAACGUUGUAGCAGACGCUUUGAGCCGGAAAAGUUAUGCCAACACACUCAUAAGCGCAGGAUUGCCAAAGGAGUUGGCAGAGGAUCUCGGGGAGCUUCGAUUGGAGAUUGUCCCUAGAGGUUUUGUUGCAACAAUGGAAGUUCAGUCUACAUUGUUAGGAAAGAUUUGAGAAGCUCAGAAGGAUGACAAAGAGAUCGCCGAGAUAAAAGAGAGAAUGAGCAAAGGAAGGGCCAAAGGUUUUCGUGAGGAUGAACACGACACCUUAUGGUUUGAGGACCAUGUUUAUGUGCCCAAUAAUAAGAUCAGGAAGUUAAUACUUCAGGAGGCUCGUGACUCACCAUAUUCGAUUCACCCGAAAACACUAAGAUGUAUGUGGAUUUAAAGGAGCGUUUCUGGUGGACUGGUAUGAAGAAGGAUAUUGUCGAAUAUGUAGCCGUAUGUGAUGUAUGUCAGAGAGUGAAGGCAGAACAUCAAAAGCCAGCCGGAUUGCUACCACUUAUGCCGAUACCCGAAUGGAAGUGGGAUAAGCUUGGCAUGGAUUUCAUCACCGGAUUUCCCAGGACCAAAUCAGGACAUGAUUUUAUAUGGGUAGUAGUUGAUCGCUUGACCAAAGUAGCUCACAUUAUCCGAGUGAAAACCACCUAUACAAGUUCCAAGUUGGCAAAGAUAUACAUGACCAGGAUAGUAUGUUUGCAUGGAGUUCUGAGAACAAUCGUAUCAGAUAGAGGAACCCAGUUUACCUCAAAGUUUUGGAAUCACUUGCAUGAAACUUUGAGAACCAGACUGGAGUUCAGUACAGCUUUUCACCCGCAAACAGAUGGAUAGACCGAGAGAGUCAACCAGAUUCUGGAGGAUAUGUUGAGAGCUUGUGCACUAGAUUAUGGAUCUAGUUGGGAUGACAACUUGCCCUACACAGAGUUCUCAUACAACAACAGUUACCAGACCAGUUUGAAAUGGCACCUUUCGAAGCCUUGUACGGAAGGAGGUGCAGGACACCGUUGUUGUGGGAUGAAGUUGGAGACCGUCAGUUGUUUGGACCAGAUUUGAUUAAGGAAUCAGAAGAGAAGGUUAAAUUGAUUAGAGAUAGACUGAAGGUGUAGCGACCCGACCUCAGACAGUCAAGUCUCUAUGCUUAAGUGUCAUCCCUAGAUCGGUAUGAUGACACACACAGUACUCGAGGAUUUAUAACAGAGGUAAAUCACAUGUAAAAAGUAACGUAAGUACUAUUACCUCAAUCCAAAUAGCGGAAGUAACAAGGUUGUGGCUUCCCAUCAACAACAACGACAAAGUUGAGUGUAGAAAUCGUAACCCUAACGUAUCACUUACUCGUCGUAAGAUUCCUGCAACAUGAGACGUUGUAGCCACAAAGGGUCAGUACAUUGAAUGUACUGGCAAAUUCACACCAUAGAGAGAAAUGAUGAACAAUGGCUAUCACUACAUGCAUAUUUGGCUGGUGGAAAAGCUCUAUGGUUAUAGUUUUUGCGAAAAGCCAAUUUUUUCCUACUACAAAGGAAUAAAUUUUAUUUAACUAUCAUGGUGGUUGUUAAACAUUGAGAAUGGUUGACAGCAUUCUCAAUCCCAAUUAAGUAACAUCAUUAAACCCAACAAAAUUAAUUCAAAAUAACGUGAUGAAAUUCACAUGAUAAUCCAAGUACUAGAUACUCAAAGUGUCCAUAACCGGGGACACGGCUAAUCAUGAUUAGUUUAUACACUCUGCAGAGGUUUGCGCACUUUUCCCCACAAGACCCGAUCUCCUCCGUUGGAUUUCUCGCACUACAAGGUGUUUGAGAAACGGAUGACCAAGACAUAGUCUUUCAGAAGCGUUUGCACCUUACGAUGGGUAGACCGUUCCACCUACAACCCCUACAUCUGCUAGUCUACCACUGUAAGAGUUCACAUGACUUAAUCAACUAUGCUAGAGCCAAUAAUAGCUUGUCGCUGCUCACGGAAGUUUCUAGUAUGAAUAAUCUCAUGAUCCCUUUGAACCUGGGUGGUGGUCCAUAAAAAACAGGCAAUCCUGGAAUACCCAGGUGCCUAGACAGGCAAUCGCUGGAAUACCCAGGUGUCUCAAUCCACCCAGAUGUGUGUUAAAGUUGCCACCUUAAGUAAACCAUUAAUUAACAAUCUCACAUCUGUCAUGAAUACUCUCCAACCCAAUCCACGUCUACGAGCAUAGCAUGGCAAUAUAAGCAUAACAUAAUAGUAACUCGCAAAGGUUGAAUGCAGGGCAAUAGGUUCCUACCUCAUCAACUACUUCCCAAUACCCAUAUGUUAUCAAUCCUACUCAUGCAAUGUUUGAGGGUGAAACUAAUGCAUAAAAACUGGGUAUGAAAGGAAUAUGAUCAAAGUGUGAACUUGCCUGCAAUGUUGAUGAAGAUGAUUCGCACUCAAAACUCUUGAUAGUUCUACUCGUCACACUCCGGUCAAUCUAUCAUAAGCAAGCAAUAGUAACCACACAUAAGCAAUCACUCAAAGAUCGAAGAGAACAAAGAAAACAAUUCGGACAACGUCAAAACCAAGCAAAUAACUCUUGCAACAUAAAACAAUUUCUAACAGUACCAAAAUUAAGUGAAUUUGGCCUUAUUAGAAAGUUUAGGUCAAGAGCUUCAUUUGCAAAAAGAAUCAACUAAAUCGGAGUUACGAAACUCAAGUUAUGUUCAAAAGAAGUUUGAAUAUGAAUCUGAACAAAAUUCGAAAUUUGAAAAUUUCAAAAAGUUGAUGUGAUAGUGAUAGAGGUGGAGGUGUCCCGUCUUUCGAUGAGAUGAUGGAUUUCGCUUUGGUGGAAGUCGACUUUGACGAUCCGACUACGAACGUGCGAGGACGUCGCGCCUUAGCAAUCGCUAAACCAACUCCGAGAGGUUAUUGACCACGCCGGAGCACGAUCAACCUGACCACGAGGGUCUGUUUCCUACGAGCAAACGAAGAACAAGCAAGAAACUGAGAUUGCAAUCUGGAUAUUGCGAAUAUAAGAUGAAAGCUUUAUUGAUCAAGGUGGGGUUCUGUGACGCCUUUGUCUGGUCGUUGAACACAAACGAAGUACGCGAAGUUGCAGCUAUGGCGAACUUUUAAUCUAAACAAAACCCAAAGAAAAGCUACUAGAUGGAUCUACUUAUAUAGGAGCAAGGGGUGGCGGCCAAGGAGGUGGGAGGACGUCCCAAGGCAGCCUAAAACUAAAUCUAGGUCGUACAAGGCCAAUGGGCCCAAGUGGAGGUGAUGUAACACCUUUGGACUUGUAGUUUGACUCGGAUUCUGCUGCAGCAUCAGAUUGUUUCGUCCACAACUCAACGCUCCAGACGAAUUUGAAGGUGAUUCCAAUUGGGUUGGAAAGUGCACGAAAUCUAGUUUCCAACAAAAAAAGAAUCACCCAAUUCGGAGUCCGUAUGAAAAACUUGUGUCUGUUUUGAGUUAGGUGUGUCUGUGCAGUCCGAAUCUGAAUCCAGAACGCGAGAGACUUGGACUCUAUCUUCUCUUGGGCCAAAAGUGACGUGAGAGAACUUUCUGGACAGCAAAUAAACAUCUCUUUCUUCCUUAUCUUCAUAUGUGGAUUGUACAAAUGUCCCAUACACCUGCAAUUAGACAAAACACAAAAGUGUGUGAAGUAUUUUUGUUCUGGAUAACAUAAAUAGAUUAUUGAAUAGUUUGCACUAGAAAUCACCUGACAAAUAUGCAUAUAUGCAAUAUUUUUGGUCAUAUCCAAGGUAGUCAGGUCCUCAUCAUCCUCCCCUUCUUGAAAAUAAAGCCGUCCUCGGCGUUGGUUAAUCUGAAAUGUGGCUAACAAAAGAGAUAAGGUGUACAUGUUGUAUAUGUAUAUGUCAUCCAUUUUUACUUCCCUUGAUUUUUGCAUAUAUGACACAUGAAUAGAUGAGUAACUUGCAUAGUUCAUAAAAUCUAAAGCCAAAAAAUUAGCACAAGAAGUAGAAGGCAUGAAAAUAUUGCAACUCAGUUUGCACAUAUAAGUGAAGCUCUUAUUCAUUUCAAAAGAUUGACAAUGUUCAUCAUUAAACCAUCCCAACAUUGGUGAAUAAAUCUUACUUGCAUCAAAUUUACAUGCUACAACAUGCUUAAAUAAGCAAACAUGCAAUAAGUCAUUCAACACAGAAUCAUCACCAAGAUUACAGGUCAUAUCAAAAUGAUUAAACAUUGGUUCUUUUGCAUCAAUAGUUAAUUCAAUGGGUGCACUCAAAAUUGUUGGUAUUUCAGUUGUUUGAUCACAUGGCAAAGUCAAAUUAUCAACGUAGUCCUCUAAAAUAGGUAGUGUGAUCAAAGUAGUGGGUAGCUCAUCAGAUGGUGCAUUCAAAUUGACAAGGCUUUCAUCAUUCUCAUGUAGAGAUGGAAGAUCAGUACCUUUGUCAUUACCUCUUAUGAUCAACUCAGAUGAUGUAGCCAUUCUCGGGGGCGAUGUGUCACAUGGUGGAGGUGAUGUAGUCCUGACAACAACGGAUGUGGUUGUCAUAGUAUGCCUAGUAGUUGAAGGAACAAUCAUAUCAACUCUUGGAAUGUGCACCGUGCGCUUGUUCUCCUCGUGGCCAACACGUCGUUUUAUUUCCUGUUCAGCUUUGCAAGCAAGAUGAAACAAAUGGUCCAUAGGAUAACACUCUUCAUGAAUUAGUAUCUCUUGAAUAUCACCGUUUAAUCCUCCCCAAAAUCUAUCCAUAAAAUCAUCUUCACUUUCUUCUAAAGAGGAAUGCAACAAGGUAGUUUGUAAAUCAUCAUAAUAUUUUGUUACAGUUUCACUACCAUGUUUUAAGUGUUGCAACUUCUUAAUCAUGUCACGAGUAUAAUAAGCAGGGACGAAAGUAUGUCGCAUGGCAAGUUUCAAAUCAUCCCAAGUAGUAGGUAUAUAAUCAGGGUGUAACCGACAAUAUUCACUCCACCAAACCAAAGCAUAACCAGUGAAAGAACCAACCGCAACCUUAACCUUUUUAUGUUCAUCGAAAUUAUGGGAAGCAAAUAUGUUUUUUAUGUCGAACUCCCAUUCAAUAUAUAAAGCAGGUUUAAAACGGCCAUUAAAUGGUGGUAUAGAUACAUUAACCUGAUCAUGUGCAUUUGGAUGUUUGUGCACCUCUCGUGACGGUUGUGGUAUUUGCAAAGGUGGUGGCACGUCUCCCGCGAUCGACAAAGCCCAUGAAUUGACUCUGGAUCCUGUCAUGAUUAGUAGAACAAGAAACAAAACCCAAAAAUAAUGUUCCUAUAACUACUAGGAUGUGGUGGUAAAACGCUCACAGUAAAGCAAAUAUCAAUGUCUUACAAGUUCUUACCAUGCAGCAGGCGGUGAUCGGCAACCAGCGGUGUCAAGUAACUCCGAAUAUUGAGUAAAGCGAUUGCCAGGGGAGCGUACGUAUACACGGUGUAGAAAUAUGUGGAGCUGGGUUGGCUAUAUAUGGUAGCAAAAGAUUAGCGAUAAUCAAUUCAAAGAUGCAAUGUUGAAUAAACGCUCAACGACGGUACUGUGCUGGUCCUAGGCUAGACCGGACUAGAGACGCGAGCCUAGAACACUAAUGAGGUCACGGCGUAGCACAACUAGCAUCAAUGAAGGAUACUAAGUAGCUCUUGACAGCAAGAUAUAAGUGAAGAUCACAACGGCAGUGAAGAUAAUGAUGAAAAACAACUGCCAAGCAGGAUAUACAACAACUCUCUCUCCAACUUUCCUCUUGAAAAGUUUGAGACAAUUUUCUGAUAAAUUCUUUCAAAGAAUGCUACUAACUCAAGUUUUCCAAUGCAAAAAGAAUCACUCAAUUCCGAGUUGAUAUGAGGAGUCAAAGAAUUCUAAAACUGGCCUGAAAAAUUGGAACAAGUUGUGUUCACGAACUUCGGAAGGCAAAAAGACCUAUUUAGAAGCCGAUUUUGAGGUGUCAAAUAUUGAACUAGCUUCUGCAACUAUUUAGAUGCGGCUCGUCGCUAUCUUCAAUUUGAGUACUCACGGAGCCAAAACGGACUUCGUAUGAGAAAGAUACACCUGUUUUACUGAACAGUGCGCAAAACAGAUUCCAAUCCGAAUUCAGGUACGAGAUUGAUUCUAGAUAGAUCCGAUUUUUUUCCUUCUCUUUUUUUUUCUCACGCUUUUUUUUUCUUUUUCUUCUCUCUUUUUCUUUUUUUUCCUCUCUUUUUUUCCUCUAUCUUUUUUUUCUCCCUCUUUCCAAGACAAACUAGAUAAGAUGCAGAUUGGAUCAGGCGAAGAUGUGAAUGACCUCAACUAUGAUUAUGACAAUGAACAGUGCGUAGCACGUGGUGGAAAUUAAUGGAUGGAAUGGUGGACAGCGGAAGGGAUAAUGAUGCAGCGGCGGUGUGACUAAUGUGAACAGAACUCGAAACUCUAAAGGAACUAGACGCUAAGACCAGCAACUGACACGACGAUGCAACCGAUAAUUCAACUAUGCAAGCAAUGAAUAGAAAAUUGCAAAGGCUCAGACUGGCUUGGAUAAAG